This 433-nucleotide ribosomal RNA is filed under the name uncultured bacterium. RNAcentral describes it as "partial 16S ribosomal RNA". It matches the Rfam family "Bacterial small subunit ribosomal RNA", at positions 29 to 507 of the family's 1533-position model. The record is from RNAcentral.
AACGAACGCUGGCGGCAUGCCUAACACAUGCAAGUCGAACGAGACCUUCGGGUCUAGUGGCGCACGGGUGCGUAACGCGUGGGAACCUGCCCUUAGGUUCGGAAUAACUCCCCGAAAGGGGUGCUAAUACCGGGUAAUGUCUUCGGACCAAAGAUUGAUCGCCUUUGGAUGGGCCCGCGUUGGAUUAGCUAGUUGGUAGGGUAAAAGCCUACCAAGGCGACGAUCCAUAGCUGGUCUGAGAGGAUGAUCAGCCACACUGGGACUGAGACACGGCCCAGACUACUACGGGAGGCAGCAGUGGGGAAUAUUGGACAAUGGGCGAAAGCCUGAUCCAGCAAGGCCGCGUGAGUGAUGAAGGCCUGAGGGUUGUAAAGCUCUUUUACCCGGGAUGAUAAUGACAGUACCGGGAGAAUAAGCUCCGGCUAACUCCGUG